AUGAACGCUGGCGGCGUGCUUAACACAUGCAAGUCGAACGAAGCAUAUAAAAGGAAUUUCUUCGGAGAGGAAUUUUAUAUGACUGAGUGGCGGACGGGUGAGUAACGCGUGGGCAACCUACCCCACACAGGGGGACAACAGUUGGAAACGACUGCUAAUACCGCAUAGGCGCACAGCUUCGCAUGAAGCAGUGUGGAAAACCGAGGUGGUGUGGGAUGGGCCCGCGUCUGAUUAGCUGGUUGGCGGGGUAACGGCCCACCAAGGCGACGAUCAGUAGCCGGCCUGAGAGGGUGGACGGCCGCAUUGGGACUGAGACACGGCCCAAACUCCUACGGGAGGCAGCAGUGGGGAAUAUUGCACAGUGGGGGAAACCCUGAUUUUUUUUACGCCGCGUGAGCGAAGAAGUAUUUCGGUAUGUAAAGCUCUAUCUGCGCGGAAGACAAUGACGGUACCUGACUAAGAAGUCCCUCGGUAAAUACGUGCCAGCAACCGCGGUAAUACAAUGGGGCAAGCGUAAUCCAGGAUAUACUGGGAGUAAAGGGGAGCGACAGCGGCUUGGCAAGUCUGAUGUGAAAGGCUGGGGCUCUCCCCCGGGCCUGCCUUGGCNCCUGUUGGGCUUGCGUGUCGGGGGGGUCCGCGGCUUUCCUUGUGUGGCGGUGNNUUGCUUGGUUUUUUGGGGGGGCCCCCGUGGCGNGGGCGGCUUCCUGGCCGNCCCCUGNCGCUGNGGCUCGNNAGCGUGGGGAGCCCCUUAGAAGGAAGAUACCNANNUANUNCACACAGAANAGGGGCCUACGAGUAAGAGUCGGUGGGCAAAGCCCAUCGGUGCCGCAGCAAACGCAGUAAGUAUUCCACCUGGGGAGUACGUUCGCAAGAAUGAAACUCAAAGGAAUUGACGGGGACCCGCACAAGCGGUGGAGCAUGUGGUUUAAUUCGAAGCAACGCGAAGAACCUUACCAAGCCUUGACAUCCCUCUGACAGCAUAUGUAAUGUAUGUUCCCUUCGGGGCAGAGGAGACAGGUGGUGCAUGGUUGUCGUCAGCUCGUGUCGUGAGAUGUUGGGUUAAGUCCCGCAACGAGCGCAACCCUUAUCCCCAGUAGCCAGCAGGUAAAGCUGGGCACUCUGUGGAGACUGCCAGGGACAACCUGGAGGAAGGCGGGGAUGACGUCAAAUCAUCAUGCCCCUUAUGGCUUGGGCUACACACGUGCUACAAUGGUGCAAACAAAGGGAAGCGAGAUGGUGACAUGAAGCAAACCCCAAAAAAAGCACCUCAGUUCGGAUUGUAGUCUGCAACUCGACUACAUGAAGCUGGAAUCGCUAGUAAUCGCGAAUCAGAAUGUCGCGGUGAAUACGUUCCCGGGUCUUGUACACACCGCCCGUCACACCAUGGGAGUUGGAAAUGCCCGAAGUCAGUGACCUAAAAGAAAGGAGGGAGCUGCCGAAGGCAGGUC
This 1448-nucleotide ribosomal RNA is filed under the name uncultured bacterium. Its description in RNAcentral is "bacterial SSU rRNA". It matches the Rfam family "Bacterial small subunit ribosomal RNA". The record is from RNAcentral.